RNAcentral lists this ribosomal RNA (220 nucleotides) under uncultured bacterium. RNAcentral's name for it is "partial 16S ribosomal RNA". It matches the Rfam family "Bacterial small subunit ribosomal RNA", at positions 524 to 739 of the family's 1533-position model. The record is from RNAcentral.
UACGUAGGGGGCAAGCGUUGUCCGGAUUUACUGGGCGUAAAGAGCGUGUAGGCGGCCAAGCAGGUCCGUUGUGAAAACUGGAGGCUUAACCUCCAGACGUCGACGGAAACCGCGCGGCUAGAGUCCGGAAGAGGAGAGUGGAAUUCCUGGUGUGAGCGGUGAAAUGCGCAGAAUAUCGAGGAAGACACCAAUGGCGAAGGCAGACUCUCUGGGAGCGGUA